ACCAAGGACCCCAGCCGGAACCGCUACAAGCUGUUUCUGGAGUGCACCCUGAUCCUCACCUCGGUCGUGCCUCCUGAGCUGCCCAUCGAGCUGUCCCUGGCCGUCAACACCUCCCUCAUCGCCCUGGCCAAGCUCUGUGAGUGUGUCAAAUGGGAUGGGGUGCCGAGUGGGCUGGGGCCAAGCAGGACCCCUGACCUCACUCCCGCCCCUAGACAUGUACUGCACAGAGCCCUUCCGGAUCCCCUUUGCUGGCAAGGUCGAGGUGUGCUGCUUUGACAAGACGGGGACGUUGACCAGUGACAGCCUGGUGGUGCGCGGUGUGGCCGGGCUGAGAGACGGGAAGGAGGUGACCCCAGUGUCCAGCAUCCCUGUAGAAACACACCGGGCCCUGGCCUCGUGCCACUCGCUCAUGCAGCUGGACGACGGCACCCUCGUGGGUGACCCUCUAGAGAAGGCCAUGCUGACGGCCGUGGACUGGACGCUGACCAAAGUGCCCUGAAGCGAAUGUCCGUGCUUGCCUCGUAUGAGAAGCUGGGCUCCACCGACCUCUGCUACAUCGCGGCCGUGAAGGGGGCCCCCGAAACUCUGCACUCCAUGUUCUCCCAGUGCCCGCCCGACUACCACCACAUCCACACCGAGAUCUCCCGGGAAGGAGCCCGCGUCCUGGCGCUGGGGUACAAGGAGCUGGGACACCUCACUCACCAGCAGGUACGGG
This 715-nucleotide long non-coding RNA is filed under the name Homo sapiens (human). RNAcentral's name for it is "non-protein coding lnc-GMIP-2:1". Lineage: Eukaryota; Metazoa; Chordata; Mammalia; Primates; Hominidae. The record is from RNAcentral.